Molecule: non-coding RNA, 117 nt
Filed under: Chlorocebus sabaeus (green monkey)
Lineage: Eukaryota; Metazoa; Chordata; Mammalia; Primates; Cercopithecidae
Source: Rfam by way of RNAcentral
GCUGGGUGCGGUGGCUCACGCCUGUAAUCCCAGCACUUUGGGAGGCUGAGGCGGGUGGAUCACUUGAGGUCAGGAGUUUGAGACCCACCUGGCCAACAUAGUGAAACCCUGUCUCUA